UGUUAAAAAUUUCAUCUAUUUAUACUGUUAAAACUAACGUGAUUGGCGAAACAACCAAAUAGUUACACGUGACAUGCUAUUUAUACCUCAUACUGACGUAUAGAAUCAAUUUUUAACAAUAGAAAUUGAUGAGAUUUUUAACA
Non-coding RNA from Gossypium arboreum, 143 nucleotides. Lineage: Eukaryota; Viridiplantae; Streptophyta; Magnoliopsida; Malvales; Malvaceae. The record is from Rfam.